This is a long non-coding RNA of Gallus gallus (chicken), 392 nucleotides long. The record is from Ensembl. Lineage: Eukaryota; Metazoa; Chordata; Aves; Galliformes; Phasianidae.
CAGCUGUAAAACCACCUGUUGUAAGAAAGCAAAGUACUGUUCUGGAACAGCCACAGCUGAUGUGCUGAGGCGUAGGGAAACAUUUUCUAUAUUUUAUUCUAUCAGACAGGGGCCUAUUUCACAACUUCCCUCUGUUUCUGUGCCUUCAAUCCAUUUCAGUGAAACCUGUCUCCCAGGACAUCCCUUUCCCAAAGAAGGCAACCAAGUAUCGGCAGUGAGGAGGGAUGCUCCAGCCAUCUGAGCGUCCUCAUGGCCCUCCUCUGGACUGACUACAACAGGCCCAUGUCCUUCUCAUGCUGAAUGCACUACAUCAGAACCCAAAAAUAAGUGCAGAUUUAGAGAAUCCUGGAAUUAUCAGCGGAGUCCAAAGCCAGCAUUUGUUACAAUCAAUU